GAUCCUGCGCCGAAGAUUUCCGGGGCUAAAACUUACUACCGAAGCUACGGCAUCAGUAAUGAUGGGUAGGGGAGCUUCCCAUACGGGUUGAAGCAUGACCGUAAGGACAUGGGGACAGUAUGGGAGUGAGAAUGUUGGCAUGAGUAGCGAGAUGUGGGUGAGAAUCCCACAGGCCGUAAACCCAAGGUUUCCAGGGGAAGGUUCGUCCGCCCUG
RNAcentral lists this ribosomal RNA (214 nucleotides) under Clostridioides difficile. Its description in RNAcentral is "partial 23S ribosomal RNA". It matches the Rfam family "Bacterial large subunit ribosomal RNA", at positions 1155 to 1377 of the family's 2925-position model. Lineage: Bacteria; Bacillati; Bacillota; Clostridia; Peptostreptococcales; Peptostreptococcaceae. The record is from RNAcentral.